ACGGGGUGCAGCAGGCGCGAAAACUCUACAAUGCUGGAACAGCGAUAGGGGACCUCGAGCGCCAGGUUACAAAUCUGGCUGUCGUGAUGCCUAAAAAGCAUCGCAUAGCAAGGGCCGGGCAAGACCGGUGCCAGCCGCCGCGGUAACACCGGCGGCUCGAGUGGUAACCGUUAUUAUUGGGUCCAAAGGGUCUGUAGCCGGCCGGGUAAGUCUCUUGGGAAAUCUGGCAGCUUAACUGUCAGGCUUUCAGGAGAUACUGUCUGGCUCGAGGCCGGGAGAGGUGAGAGGUACUUCAGGGGUAGGGGUGAAAUCUUGUAAUCCUUGAAGGACCACCAGUGGCGAAGGCGUCUCACCAGAACGGACCUGACGGCAAGGGACGAAAGCUAGGGGCACGAACCGGAUUAGAUAUCCGGGUAGUCCUAGCCGUAAACGAUACUCGCUAGGUGUCGGCAACGGUGCGACCGUUGUCGGUGCCGUAGGGAAGCCGUGAAGCGAGCCACCUGGGAAGUACGGCCGC
RNAcentral lists this ribosomal RNA (517 nucleotides) under uncultured archaeon. Its description in RNAcentral is "bacterial SSU rRNA". It matches the Rfam family "Archaeal small subunit ribosomal RNA", at positions 325 to 844 of the family's 1478-position model. The record is from RNAcentral.